Long non-coding RNA from Cylas formicarius (sweet potato weevil), 1682 nucleotides. RefSeq lists it as uncharacterized. The transcript is spliced from 4 exons. Lineage: Eukaryota; Metazoa; Arthropoda; Insecta; Coleoptera; Brentidae. The record is from RefSeq and is a predicted model, not a curated record.
AACGGAUCUACUGUCCUAGGAAAAACUUGUUGGCGUAGUCACGCGGGUGUGAAACAUAAGGGUGUUAUUAUACAGGGUGUUUUCUAAUUGAACUUGAACUUGAAACUUCAUAUGAACACAUCUCCUAAACGUCUUAACUUUUGACAUACAGGGCGAAAUUUUAAUGAAAUUUGGCACAAAUGUACUGCGUAUCAAGAGGCAUCAUUUAGUGUAAAGUCUGUUCAUAGAUAUAAGAACUGAUACGAAUUAAGGAAAGACCCGGGCAAGCUGAAAGAAUGAAAUAUGGCCGAACAGAAUUUGCCGAACUUUGUGGAGGGAUGUUAAAAACUUCGGUUUGUAUAAGUUUGAGGACAUUGGAGUUAAGACGGGGAAAAACAUUGUUACGACGAUGGCAGAUUUCAGUUGGUGCCAGACAUGUUCGAUGGGAUUAAAUAUACAGAGGUUCAAGCUUUGUAGAACCUCAGUUAAUUGCUUUUUGGUAUAAUCUUAGUGAAAAUGAAUGUCGUUAUUAUACAUGUAGUUUUGGAUUGUUGCUUUUGUGUCACAUGAGGAAGGGGUUUUAGUCAACUGUGUACUGUGAUAACUUGCAUUCUCCAUUACAAUUACGCUAUCAGGAGGAAUGCUAUAUCGAGUACUUGUGACAGAGUUUAAAUACAAACUUAUUGCGAAUUCUUUAAAUUCUUUACUACCAAAAGCCAUGUUAUCAGAAACAAUCUCAGAAGUAUGUGUAGAAAAAAUAGAUUUGAGUUCUGAUAUUAUUACUGAGGUGGUUUUACUUUUAAGAGGAAUUAUCUCAAGCCGAUUACUAUGAUAGUCCAUAUUGAAAAAUAAUCUUACCAGCAUAUGUUUCUAAGAAAUGUAACUUUUGGUUAGUUGUAUUAAAGGUUCUUUCUUCGUCUUCUUUUGAUAAUCCUGGCCAAUAAAAUAACCUUCUAGCUCUAACUUUUGAACUUUUCUAUGCCGCAAUGACCCACACGUAAUCAUCUUAAGCCAAUUACUAUGGUAGUCUUAUUGAAAGAUAAUUCUUACCAGCAUAGGUUAAAAUAUCAGCUGCGACUUUCAGAAAUGGAACUGUUGCUCUUUCAUAUUGUAUUAAAGGUUCUUUUACAACACUCUUACUAUACAAGUUAUACAUUUUCAUACAACUGGCGAAUAAAAUAACUUUGUAGUUAUAACCUGAGACUUUUCUAUGUCGAAAUGACCAACACGUAAUUCAGUGAACAUUUUUAAUCUAUGGUUUGAGUUUUGAUAUUAUUUAUGAGGUAGUUUUAAUUUUAAGAAGAAUUCUCUCAAGCCAUAGUAUUGAAAGAUAAUCCUUACCAGUAUAUAUUAAAAUAUCAGCUGCGACUUGAAGAAAUGGAACUUUUGAUUUUUCAUGUUGUAUUAAAGGUUCUUUCUUCUUCUUCUUUCUAUAGUCCUGGUCCAUAAAAUAACCUUCUAGCUCUAGCCUAAGACUUUUCUAUGCCGAAAUGACCCACGCGUAAUUUAGGUAACUUUUUUAAUCUAAGGGCCUUCGGACCUACUAGUCGACAACCAAGAAGCAUUACAUCUCGAUGCACAAAUAAAUUAUCUUUAAAAGCAAUAAAACAGUAACUUGUUAGUAAAGGUACGUUUAAUGGAACAUAUUUUGGGCUUAAGGUACGUAUCAAAUGUUCGACUAGAAUAUUUGGGCAUUCGAAUCA